RNAcentral lists this ribosomal RNA (253 nucleotides) under uncultured bacterium. RNAcentral's name for it is "partial 16S ribosomal RNA". It matches the Rfam family "Bacterial small subunit ribosomal RNA", at positions 524 to 776 of the family's 1533-position model. The record is from RNAcentral.
UACGUAGGGUGCGAGCGUUGUCCGGAAUUAUUGGGCGUAAAGGGCUCGUAGGCGGUUCGUCACGUCGGGAGUGAAAACUCGGGGCUUAACCCCGAGCCUGCUUCCGAUACGGGCAGACUAGAGGUAGGCAGGGGAGAGCGGAACUCCUGGUGUAGCGGUGGAAUGCGCAGAUAUCAGGAAGAACACCGGUGGCGAAGGCGGCUCUCUGGACCGAGACUGACGCUGAGGCGCGAAAGCGUGGGGAGCAAACAGG